This 215-nucleotide ribosomal RNA is filed under the name Chlamydia pecorum. RNAcentral describes it as "partial 16S ribosomal RNA". It matches the Rfam family "Bacterial small subunit ribosomal RNA", at positions 67 to 270 of the family's 1533-position model. The record is from RNAcentral. Lineage: Bacteria; Pseudomonadati; Chlamydiota; Chlamydiia; Chlamydiales; Chlamydiaceae.
CGGAAUAAUGGCUUCGGCUAUUAUUUAGUGGCGGAAGGGUUAGUAAUACAUAGAUAAUUUGUUCUUAACUUGGGAAUAACGGUUGGAAACGGCCGCUAAUACCGAAUGUGGUGUGUUUAGGCAUCUAAAUUACAUUAAAGAAGGGGAUCUUCGGACCUUUCGGUUAAGAGAAAGUCUGUGGGAUAUCAGCUUGUUGGUGGGGUAAUGGCCUACCA